Long non-coding RNA from Bombus pyrosoma, 517 nucleotides. RefSeq lists it as uncharacterized. The record is from RefSeq and is a predicted model, not a curated record. The transcript is spliced from 3 exons. NCBI's taxonomy places the organism in Eukaryota, Metazoa, Arthropoda, Insecta, Hymenoptera, Apidae.
CCGCUGUCGACGAAAUAUUUGCAACGCUUUUUAUAGUACGUGUACAGCGGCAUUCGAAAGGUCCCAGCAAUUUUCCAAGUACGAUGAGAAACUGGUUCAGCGAUAUGCCAUUUUGGACGAGUAGUUUCUUCAUUUUUACGAUUCUGUUGGCAACAACGUUAACGUUGUCGAAAUGCGAGGCAAUGGACGAUCCAAAUGUAUUGGCAUCUUCGCGAACCGAGAUGCGAGCGGACAAGGAACUCGACUUUAGGUAUAUAAUUGACGUUCCACUACGUCGAUGUCCUAAACAUCAGAAAAGGGAUCACUUGGGAAAGUGCAGAGACAUCUUGUGAGUAUGCUGUUACACCUCCGAACAUUUACGUCAGCUUUGGAUAAAUUACAGAAAAAAAUGGAGUUCCUACGAACGGUUGCGAGCUUGCAGCGACAAAAAUCCUGGAUCUACUUGCGAUAAUUUUCACCUCACGAAUAUUUUCCUCUCUCUUAUGUUUGUAGCUACGAUGAAAUAAAUCAUUUCAAA